UCAAAAAUUCAGUGGUGGUUUGAAGUUGUUCAAACAGCAGUUCCUUCUUUAAAAGGGGAAUCUUUCCUCCAGUCACAUCAGUGGUGCAAGCAUGAAUGAUAAGGCACUUUGGGAGGUUGCAUGAUUUGUGAGACAAUGUUGACGUUGCAAGUCGCA
Theobroma umbraticum is the source of this 156-nucleotide non-coding RNA. The record is from RefSeq and is a predicted model, not a curated record. Lineage: Eukaryota; Viridiplantae; Streptophyta; Magnoliopsida; Malvales; Malvaceae.